RNAcentral lists this non-coding RNA (26 nucleotides) under Mus musculus (house mouse). The record is from RNAcentral. Lineage: Eukaryota; Metazoa; Chordata; Mammalia; Rodentia; Muridae.
UCCAUUGACGUGCCCUGGCUGUUAUA